Zea mays is the source of this 3104-nucleotide long non-coding RNA. RefSeq lists it as uncharacterized. NCBI's taxonomy places the organism in Eukaryota, Viridiplantae, Streptophyta, Magnoliopsida, Poales, Poaceae. The record is from RefSeq and is a predicted model, not a curated record. The transcript has 2 exons.
GAGCUGCCUUAUCCUUGAAUGAGUGAGUGGUACGUGCGUGGAUGCCGAACCUGACCUGGCCUGGCCGGGAGAUAUUUUUCUCCGUCGUCUUGCUCCCUCGAUCUACGUCUAUUUACUAGUGGUACGUACACUCCUGGUAGUAAAACUACGCUACCACCACUACUACUGUAUACUCUGUUCAUAUGAAAAAUCCAAACCUCAAAUAUAUAUGAGAAAAAAGCCUGCCGAGCCAACAACUGCCAACCAAGCUCGAAUCCUCCAGCACAGCCAAGUAUUCAACUUUCAGUGUCAUUGCGCUUGUGGUGUUGGUACUAGGAGUUCUCUAGUGUUCUUUCAAGACUAGCAUUGUCAGCAUCAUACGGAGUAGAUAGUUAGUAAGGCUAAAAAUCGAAGCAAGCACACGUGCUUUCGUUUUGCUUCUCGACUGAGUAGUAGUACUUGCGCUGAAAAUCAUCCCGUGAUUUCGCUUUGCUGGGGCAAAGAACGCCGACGUGGAGACGAGCCUCCACCCCAACAGUUAGUUCCCCUUCUUCUAUGAUCAGUUCUGCAAGCUUUGCCGCUGUGACUGAAGCUCCAUCAAGACCCCGGUUAUUGAUAAACCAGCAUAGUGACUCAAAGGGAGACGAGCAUAGUCUUCUCAAGACUGCCGGGGUGGACGUGGACCUCCGAGCAUUCUGCCAUUCAUCCCGUGCUGUUGGGGUCAGCGGUCAGCCGUUUGUCAGUGACUCAAAUCUACAAAUCAACAGCAGGUUAUUGCAAAAUCAACAGGAUGCCCCUGGAUUAUUAGAGCUAGAACAACGGCUGAUAAUAGUGUCAGGGUGCAGAUAAACUGAGGCAAAUAUAGUUGUGCAUCUACAAGUAGAGUACAAGGCACAAUGGCCUCCCAAGCCUGGGUUGCAGAAAGAGCUAUACCAUUGUUGAAGAAGAAGCCAAACAUGGGAGCCAUUGAACUUCAGUCAGCUUUGGAGGAAAAGUAUGGUUUGAAAAUCAACUACUAGACAGUAUGGUAUGGGAGACAAAGGGCAGCAAACAAAUUAUUUGGUAGUUGGAAUGAUUCUUUUGAUUGGUUGUAUAGGUUCAAAGCAGAGGUAGAGCUAAGGUCACCCGGGUGUAUAGUAGAGAUUGAUACAGUCAUAGUAGAUAAUAAGUUACAUUCCAGCAGGUUUUUCUGUGCAUUCCAAGGUAGCAUUGAAGGAUUUUUAAAUGGUUGUAGGCCUUACAUUAGUGUAGAGUCCACAGCUCUGAAUGGCCUUUGGAAUGGUCACAUGCCAGCUGCCUUAGGCUUAGAUGGACACAAUUGGAUGUUUCCAUUGGCCUUUGGGUUCUUGACUCUGAGACUAGGGACAAUUGGGUUUGGUUUAUGGACCAGCUUGGAAAGGCCAUAGGAUUUGUGCCACAUUUGGCAGUAUGCACAGAUGCCUGUAAGGGUCUAGAAGCAGCAGUCCAGCAGGUAUUUCCUUGGGCUGAACAAAGAGAAUGUUCCAGGCACUUGAUAGAGAAUAUGAAGAAAGGGUUUACUGGAGAUGUAUAUGGAGCUAACAUGUGGCCAGCAGAUAGAGCAUACUCAGAUAGGAUGUACAAGUAUUUCAUGGACAAAGUGAUUGCAGCCAGCCCUAGUGUACAAACUUGGUUAGAUGAACACUACAGUCUCUUCUGGGCAAGGUCCAAGUUCAAUACAUAGGUGAAGUGUGAGUACAUCAACAAUAAUCUAGCUGAGUGUUGGAAUGCAUGGAUUAAACAGCUGAAGGAUCUACCAUUGCAUUGCAUGGUUGAUGCCAUUAGAGAGAAGGGGGUGUGUUAUUUGAGAAGAGGAGGAGCAUAGCAAGGGCACUAGAUGGGGUGAUCUUGCCAGCUGUUGUGCAACAGUUGAAUGCUGCCUCCAAAGGACUGAACCAUUUGAAAGUGACAAAGGGUAUACCUGACCAGACUGAGGUGACAGUGAUGUAUAGGGAUCAAGAAGUGAGGAGGCAUGUUGUAUACUUAGAGAAAAAGGAAUGCACAUGUAGGUAGUGGCAGGUGACAAGGAAGCCAUGCCCACAUGCUUUCGUUGUAAUCACUACUUGCAGACAACCUCAGCUAGAACCCUACGUGGACAUGGCUUUCUUUGUUUCAAUGCUAAGGGCAGCAUAUGACAAGGGAUGGCCUAACAUUACUGACAUGUCACAAUGGCCUAAGGUGGAUAAAGAUUUCAAAUUGCAGCCACCAAUAUUCAAGAGGAGAGGUGUGGGAAGGCAGAAGAAAAACAGAUUCUUAUCUCCUCUAGAGAGGACAAGUAAGGCUAGAAGACAAGUUAAGUGCGCCAACUGUGGUGAAAAUGACCAUAGGAAGGGAAGUUGGAAAUGCCUCUAACUGGAACGAAAAAGAGGUUAAGUUAUGAAUGUUUCAUCCUUUGUACUUAUGUUAGAAAUGCCUACUAACUAUUCAUCCUUUGUAGGAAGAGAACCAGAAAGACCAAGACAACUGGAGAGAGGAAGAAAGCUAAGGGGGCUGAACCAGAAGCUGCUCAAGUGCAGCAGCUGACCCAAAAGCUGCAACAGGUGCACAAGCUCACCCACAAGCUGCAACAGGUGCACUAGCUCACCCACAAGCUGCAACAGGUGCACAAGCUGAACCACUAGCUGAACCAUCUCCAAGAACAAGGGCACAAGCUGCAAGAGAAAAGGCUAGGAGGGCACUAGAGGCUGAGCAAGCAGCCAAGGAAGCAGAAUUAUAGGUAUCCACAAGAAGGGUACUAACAUUGGAACCACCACGAGUUGAAGUGAACAUGUCAGUGCAAGAAGACGGUCCCAGUUCAAUGGUUGAUGCUCCCCCUAAGAAGGAAAUAGCUUGCAACAAGAAAGAAGAUCAAGUUCAAUGCUUGAAGCCGAGGAGCAUGUCCCUUCGAGUGCUAUGACAUGUCUCUUUUGUAAUCUAAGGGCUAAGAAUAGUCUAAGCUGAGCCCUGAAAAGGUGGUUGCAUAUCUCUUUUGUAAUCUGAGGGCUAAGAACAGUUUAAGCUGAGCCAUGAAUGUAAUGAUGUCUCUUUUGAAUGUUGUAAUGAUGUCUCUUUUGAAUGCUAUGAACAAGGUCAUGUUGGGAUGUAAUGAAUGCUGAUGGUUUCAACAA